This is a long non-coding RNA of Musca domestica (house fly), 1140 nucleotides long. RefSeq lists it as uncharacterized. The transcript has 3 exons. Lineage: Eukaryota; Metazoa; Arthropoda; Insecta; Diptera; Muscidae. The record is from RefSeq and is a predicted model, not a curated record.
UUCAGAAAACUUUGAAUGACUGACAACAUUCAUCAGAGUUGAAUGAUACAAUGAUGAAUUUUCCGAGCAAUAUUUCCAAUCAAAAGCCACAAGAGCUACUUGGAGGAUACGCACUACUUCCUUUGUCCAAAAAGUCACGGACAGAAAUGGGAUUACAUUGGAUUGCAUGCAUGAACGUAAGAACAAAUCAUCUAUCCUCUUGGCGUGGCAAUAACGCGCUCGCCUGUUGUGUGUGUGUGUACGGUUGUGAGCCAAUAAUCGAGUGCACGAGUAUGGGUAAUGGUAAUUUCCUAUUUUGAAAAUUGUUUUCAACAAUUCGCUCUCGUCUCACUCAUUUUCUUUGAGCGGACGAAAGAACGAACGAACACAAAGUAAUCAAUUUUCAAUCAUAGUCGAGUUAAAUAUGAAUAGACGAGAAAGAAGUGGAAUCCAAUUAAAUGCACGUAAAGGCAACGGCAACAAAAGUGUUCUGCCAAUACCAACCACAUCGCGUCCCGCCGUUCGUCGUCAAAAACAUCACAACACUGUUGGCAACGACUUUGGCUCGAACAGACAUACGGCAAUCUCAUUAAAAGUGUUCUACUUUCUUGCUGUUGUUGGUGCUACUGUUGCUGCUGCCACUUGGCUGAAAUUAUCCCCGAAAAAAGGCAAUACAAUGUAAAUGAAGGAUAUGUGUAUGCGAAUUGUUACAAUCUGAUGCGUGCGUGCGUGUGUAAAUGUGAGUGCAUGAGAUUGCGAAUGGGGAAGGCUGUUGUUGCUGUUGUUCAUAUUCGUGAUUACUUUUAAAUUAGCUGAUAACUCAUACUUGAAGUGGCAAUUUCGUUAUGUUUUAACAAACUGCUUUUGCAUAUAUUUCGGAAUUACUUAUUCUUCCACUGGAUACAGACGACUACGUGCAAAUUGCUCUCAUAUUACAACCACUUAAAUGUUGUACGUGCCUUAUAUGUGGCAACAACAACAACAACGGCAACAUGCUCUGCGAAACGGCUACAGUGCAUGAAAUAAACGUAGGUUCAUUAUCCAUCCAUAUCCAUAUAUGGGCCAAUAUUAAUUUUUCAAUUUCUGCAUUGAAAAUUGGCCUAAUUGGUUUAGACAUUAAAAGGUUUUUUUUCGAUAUAAAUAAAAUAAUUGCAUUGAAUA